GGUCCCAUAGCUCAGUUGGUUAGAGCGUCGUACUAAUACCAAAUCGUCUCAUGCGAAGGCCGAGAGUUCGAGCCUCUCUGGGACCA
Non-coding RNA from Sodiomyces alkalinus F11, 86 nucleotides. NCBI's taxonomy places the organism in Eukaryota, Fungi, Ascomycota, Sordariomycetes, Glomerellales, Plectosphaerellaceae. The record is from the annotation of a RefSeq genome assembly.